RNAcentral lists this ribosomal RNA (301 nucleotides) under uncultured bacterium. RNAcentral describes it as "partial 16S ribosomal RNA". It matches the Rfam family "Bacterial small subunit ribosomal RNA", at positions 509 to 809 of the family's 1533-position model. The record is from RNAcentral.
CAGUCGCCACGGUAAUACGUAGGUCCCGAGCGUUAUCCGGAUUUAUUGGGCGUAAGGCGAGCGCAGGCGGUUAGAUAAGUCUGAAGUUAAAGGCUGUGGCUUAACCAUAGUACGCUUUGGAAACUGUUUAACUUGAGUGCAAGAGGGGAGAGUGGAAUUCCAUGUGUAGCGGUGAAAUGCGUAGAUAUAUGGAGGAACACCGGUGGCGAAAGCGGCUCUCUGGCUUGCAACUGACGCUGAGGCUCGAAAGCGGGGGAGCAAACAGGAUUAGAUACCCCCGUAGUCCCUGUCUCUUAUACAC